CCUGGAACUACGUGUUACAGCUUCCCUAUUCCAAGGAAUAGGAGAACAAAAGUACACGCCUAUACUUUAGGGUUACCCCUUAAAAAGAUACGGUGUCGUCGGUAAGCUCUGUCCGAGCGGCCGGCCUCCACGGAGACGAAGGCAACCCAUGUUGCCCGCGCUCGCGGCGCGCCCCCUUCCCCUGGGAGUUGCUGCCGGACCUUCCGACGCGGUACCGGCCUCCCUCCUCUCUGGCGCCCCGCGCGCGAAGUCGGUCGCGGCCGGUCUCCGGCGGUAGUACGGAAGACGUUCACUCCGGAACCAGCGUCCGCGAUGCAGUCUACGUCCACCCGCAACGACACCUCCUUGCCGGCCCCUGGAGCAAUAGGCGACUCUUCGCCGGCGCGGCAGUGCCGGUCAGCGCGAGUGCGUCAGACAUCGGCAUCGCGCCUGCCUCUCCCGGCUGCACGAAGAACGGCCGGCAUCCGGCGAGCACGGCAAGUUUUAGCUGUCGCAGCUAGGUAAUUCUCUGACGAGAUCUAAAGUCAUACCAUGUUGGAACUACUCGGCUACAUGACUCCAUAAAAAAGUAUUAUCAAAACUUACCAAGGCUUUUUCUCAUGAACUUGCCUACAGACAUACCAAAACAUGACUCGCACAAAAGUGCAUGAUCUGAAAUGAAAUAUAAAAAUUAUAUUAAAAGGAGCAUUGAAGAGUUACCAUAGUAGUUCGGGCUUGAACGUAUCAAAUAUGGUAAUUUGACUUACUAAAAAAUUAUUUUACUUUUACAAAACAAAAAAGAAAACUUGAGUUGUAACAAAACGAUGUUAUACGACCUGAAGAGAGUAAAAUGGUGAACUUGAAAAUGGUAAAACUUAAAGGUACCAAAAAAACAAACUCGAAAAAAAAGGUUUGAACUACAGCACAGGUUAAAAAAAAGACAUGAAUAUACGAUCAUAUUAUUAUAUUGUAAAGGUAAUGUUAAAAACAGGUAAGUACCUGUAGUUGGUUUUACCCGUCCUCUCUCGUGAUAGCUUGACUAGUAACAAAAGCUGGCUUGAUAACACAAGAAAAGAUUCUUGACUUGUACAUUAUGUAUAACUUCCCGGUGUGUACAUACUAUAUUACUUGACAUCCCAGAAUUUUCACGUUGCUGUCAUGUAGAUAUUUCGAGGUAUUCUAGCGUACUUCGGAGACGGUUUACUUUAUAUGUUUUAUGACUUUUUUGAAGUGUGAAAACGUGCUUCCCGUAUGAAGGACUGUACGAGCUGCUCUGGGUAACUUUAACGCGUUAAGUGCACACCCUCGUUCGUUGUUGAAACUUCAUACGUUAAACCUUUCGAGUAUUUCAUUUUGUACCGUAGAACAAAAAAAGGUCUUUUUGUUGUCCUCGUGUAGGCGUAUCAAUAAGUAGAGGUGUAGUUAUUAUUAACCGGUGGUUUUUGGACUGUUUACAAAAAAAAAAGACUUUUGUGUGUUGUGUAAAAAGCUUACGUAGUCAUGUUCGACUGUAAAAGUCAAAAGUCUUCGUUAGUUUGAACGAUUAAUCAUCUCAUGAGCACAUGAAUGACCCUGGUGUGUAUAGGAUUAUAAUCAUAAGUACAUGAAUGAUGCCGGAUGUGAGUCGAGGAACUCGCUGGCCGGUGUUUUGUUCUUCAACAUGACAACUCGUCCUCCAGGAGCUGGGGCACUGAGGAGGUCGUCCAAGGUGAUAAAAGGCGACUUCGUAUUCGGUACGGCAACCUCACCCUGCGCAGGUGUGCCGCUGUUGAAAUCUUUGACCAAGAUAUCUUUUCUAAAAAGUAAUUUACCGGUGUUGAAAGUCACCGAUUAACUUUCGUUUCAGUAUAAUACUCACCGAUUACCCAAUUCUUUCGAAAACUUCUUUUUACUUUCGUCUCCGAUCGAUCGUGGAAGCGCGUGGGGUGCUGCACUGGGAACCUCAAGUUGGACCUUUACCCCGGCUUUUCCGAGCGCGGCGUGAAGCGCUGGUAGCUCGCGGUAUGGGCCGCCGUAACGGAACACCAACCGGGCCGCGGGCCGAGCGGCUGUCUGAAGUCAAGUCCAACCUAAGUAGUUUUUGUAUUUACUUCGUACACAAGAAAAAGAUAAGAACGUUUACUUCGAGGUGAAUACAAGACAAACUAUUAAGACAUAAGAUAAGACAAAACUUGAUUUCACACGCCUACUUAACUUGAAGAGGCUAUGUAUAAAGUGACUUGGAUCAGGAGGUCUUACAAAUAAGAAAAAUCAAUACAACCGUACUCCGAUACUUUAUGUAGUGUCGUUAACAAAAAACCCACUCAAAGUUUUUUGUAUUAUGAUACACUUGUUAUGUUGGACUGGAUUGAUCUAUACGUUGUACGUCAUGUGUACAUGCCACAGAGUUGAAAAGUGUUUUUUGACGUCGACAUGAUAGUAGAUAACUUUUACUUAGUGUCUUUAUUACCUCUUCUGAAUCAAUUUUACACUUGUGGAACAGGUCAAAACUAGUUUAACUCUAGUGUUUCUUGUGAGCGACGAAAGAGAUGUCUCAGGUCCAAUAUCGUUUUUACUAGUUCUGUAUUCUUGUCACUAGUGAACAUGACGGACCUUUUAUUGUUCGUUUGAAUAUCGUAAACUAGUAAGCUUGAACAGUGUUAUCUUUAUCUCUUAAUACAUGUGCCUAUGUUGAACGUAGUAGUUUGAAAUCUCAAGAAAAUUGAGGUCUUACGAAGGUGUCCUGUAAGUUUUGGGUUUUCGUUUUAUUUUUUUAAUCACAUUACAAACAUUUUGAAUCAAUUUCAUCUUAAUGAAAACAAAAUAUUGUGAUGUAUGAACUCACGAACACGGGCAAAUUUAGACUUAUUUUUCUUAUAGUAAUAGAAUCCUGAAAUAGGCCAAAAGUAGUGAUCAUGUGUCAAAGGCAUGCACAACAAGAGGGUAUCCGUAAUUGUGUUCGUGGUACGCACGAUCCUUCUUGUCCCGUGAACUUAGUCUUAACUGUGGCUUCUUUGAGCGACGUUUAGUGAUGAAUAAGUCUUUUCGUGUGAGGAUCCGUGCGUCCGCUUCGGCAAAGUUCGAUGUUGGUUGUAGUCGUCCUUAAGUUCGCUUUCCGUGACUCCAUUAUCCUUUACUUGUAUACUGCUUCUUAACUUGUAUUUUCUUUUAUAAAAACCUCUUCCUUCUUCUACAGUCCUCCUAGACCACUUGGACGAUGCGUAUGAGGACGCCUGAAUGCCAAGGCCACUUCACCUCGACUACCUUCUCCCCUAGUGCUCGUCGCCGCCCUACCAGCCGUGACCUCGAGCACCACUUCACCUGAGCACCACGCCGCCGUUACAACCGCCGACCGUCACCCGCUGCCUCCACUUCCUAAGACCUGACUUCUUUAUUAGGUUUCCUCGUUUUGUUCUUCGCGUUUGAUCACGUGUUAAGUUUGAUGGUAGUUUGGAAAAAUGACUUGCCUACUCUGCUCUACGACGUCCUCGUUUUGGAGAGAGGGACGGAAUUGUUUUUCAUUACCCCCGAUUUGAAACACAAAGAGAGCUUGUUUUUGACUGUAAGAGUUGAGUACUUUAUUUGAUGUCCUCGUUUUCGACUUCACACUGGAUCAGACUUUAAACUUGAACAGCCCUCCGAAAACGACAUGACUUCACACUGGAUCAUAAGUAAGAUGAUAAGAAAAAAGGAGGACCGACUUCGAUCAGUCACGUCUAGUGGGACUGUCUUUAGAAGAAGUGUAAAAGAGGUAGGUAGCGUAGGACGGAUUUUGGUUUUUUUCACCCCUAUCUUUGAUCACCUUCCCUCCUGGUAACACGACGAUAAAACUAGUCCGCAUGUGUGUUUUGUUAUUUUACCUACUUUACUUUGUGUAACAUGACAAGUGCAACGAAGAGGGAAGGACGGGUCGGUUUAGUUUAGCUUGGUGUCCGUGACGUAGCUUCUUGGACGAUUACGGGUAGUAGUUAAAAACUAUACAGUACUAGUUUUACCCAAACUAGGGUACCAACUCUGUCUUUAUGACGUAGCUAAACACUAGACUACCAGAGAGUUCUAGAGGCUUCUAGACUUGACUAACAUAAUGUUCGUGGCGUGUUUAAGGUUGCUCGGCUACAUUCAUGAUAAUUUUUCCAUUAGUUCAAGUACAAUAUAAUUAACCCUCUUCAAGUUUUUUUUAUUUGAAAAUUUUUCCAACAGGAUAAAAACGAUAUUGUUGAGAUCAGUAGAAAAACGGUUGGUACAUAUAAUGUGCCAUGUUUAUUCUAUAAACUUGACUUGAUUUUAUUAUUUAACAUGAUUUGUGGAUUUCUUGCACAAGAAAAGUGUAGAAGGGUUGAUGAGUUAAUCGUCUUGUGUACAUGCGUAAAAUUAUUGUCUUCGUCU
RNAcentral lists this ribosomal RNA (4344 nucleotides) under Triticum aestivum (bread wheat). RNAcentral's name for it is "partial small subunit ribosomal RNA". Lineage: Eukaryota; Viridiplantae; Streptophyta; Magnoliopsida; Poales; Poaceae. The record is from RNAcentral.